CCUUAUUAAACACCUAUUCUCGAAAAUCAACCUCUAACUUCAAGUUUUCACCCAAUUUUCAUCCUAUUAGUCUCAGACAAUCCACACAAAAUUUAGCACACAUGGAAUCCACAUUUAUCUCCAAGUUUUCCUGCAACAGCUUAACCUACCAAACAGCCUAUAUUUGAUUUAAGGGUAUAAUAGUGUUUAAAGGUUGUUUGGGUUUAGCAUCUAAGUUCUCUUAUUCAACCUAUAAAUAUAGAUCAACCUACUCAUGUACAACGCUACAAUCAACCCACGUGCAAAAAUAAUUUUCGUUUCACAGGAAUAAACAAAAAUCUAACUCACACAUAUGACUUAUUCAUAAUCCAUGAACCAAUACAUGUUCUUAAUAUUAUACAUCAUC
RNAcentral lists this long non-coding RNA (385 nucleotides) under Olea europaea (common olive). RNAcentral's name for it is "long non-coding RNA (OEUR_LNC003051)". The record is from RNAcentral. Lineage: Eukaryota; Viridiplantae; Streptophyta; Magnoliopsida; Lamiales; Oleaceae.